Saccostrea cuccullata (small rock oyster) is the source of this 799-nucleotide long non-coding RNA. RefSeq lists it as uncharacterized. The transcript is spliced from 2 exons. NCBI's taxonomy places the organism in Eukaryota, Metazoa, Mollusca, Bivalvia, Ostreida, Ostreidae. The record is from RefSeq and is a predicted model, not a curated record.
GUAACAUUAUUCAAUUUAUUAAUGCAUAAUUUGCAUUCAUUAAUUGAAAAAUCAAGUAGGGCAUAUAAUAGAUUGUAGUAAUAAUUUUGAAUUUAGAGGUUCUGACCAAACUUAUCUCAAAAGCUGACAAGUGACAUUGGAAUGUAAUUCCUGAACUAGAAUCACAGACAUUGCUAUAGAGAGGAAAGGAACAGAAAUGCAGACUGUCCUGUGUGUAGUGCCAAUUUGAACAAGCUAGGAAAACGCCUACCCUAUGCACAUUGUGCCAAUUCAAAAUUGAUCUGUUCAAUAUCGGGCCUUCCACUUAAUGAAAACAAUCCUCCAAUGGCAUUACCUAAUGGGCAUGUAUAUGGUUACAACUCGCUCUCUGAUUUAGCCCGCUUAAAUGAGGGAAGGGUGGUUUGUCCAAGGACCAGAGAGAUUUUCCACCUAGACGAGGCAGAGAAAGUGUUUGUUAUGUAAUGGUUAAACAGAAGAAAAAAGACAUAUCCAUUAGAAUUAUAUACCUAUAUGCUGUACUUAUGUUCAAUCUUUCCGUGCUAUUAUGCAAAAACUACACAGUGAUAUCUGUAUGAGCCAAAUUACUCCAAGAUGUACCCUGAUAGUUAUGAGCAUGUAUAAAUGCAACAAGAAAUUUUAAAAAAAAAAAUAUCUAUAUGAAUUUUCUUAAUGUACAAUACAUGGUUGAAACCAUUAAUUAACUUUCAUGAAUGUUUUCAUAAGAAUGCUGGGAGUAAUUUUCAAUGGAGUCUGCUUGUAAUUAACCCAUCAUGUAAAUAAAUUCCUUGAUUAAAUUGAA